CUAUCAACAAACCACGUUUCAACAUGUGGCUGGAGAUAAUUUUAAUGAUGAAGGAGUGGUACAAUCAGUUACAAUAACUACCAAGACACUUCAUAUGGGCAAUUCUGUUUUCAUAUCUGUAUGGGCUGUUAACGGGGUUGGAUUAAAAAGUCAACCUGCUCAUUCUGAAUUUGAACUUGUAGAAGGAGGAAUGUUAGAUUUAGCCAGGAGAUGUCAACCGUAUAAUUGUCUUGGACAUUGUGUUUGUGCUGCACAAGACAAAACAUGUUCAGAUGCUGACAACUGUAGAGACAUCUCAACAGGGAAUCCAAAUAACAUUAUCCAAGUUACAGACAUGACUAAUUUGAUGUCAUCUGAUGCUGCACAGUCUUACUACACAUCGUCUGAUAAUUUUCUAGCUGCCAGAUGGAGGAUAAUAAACCCACAAGGCAUCUCUCCUAUAAGAUAUGAAUGCAGUGCCGGACAUUCCGGUGAAAAUUCACCCAGUGGAAUAUAUGACACUGAUACAGAAAGGACAUGGUUUGAUGUUGGUGAAAAUACCGAAACUAUAAUUACUUUACCUACAGCUAAAGUUUUAGAUAAGUCUGUGCCAUAUAGUGUAUUUGUGAGGGUAUGGUAUAAUGCAAAUCAAUAUGCGAUAUUUAAGUCUCCUGGUAUUACACCACUGAUGUCUGCUCCGAGUGUCAGUCACAUAGC
Long non-coding RNA from Patella vulgata (common limpet), 696 nucleotides. RefSeq lists it as uncharacterized. The transcript is spliced from 5 exons. Lineage: Eukaryota; Metazoa; Mollusca; Gastropoda; Patellidae. The record is from RefSeq and is a predicted model, not a curated record.